CCAAUAGCGUAUAUUAAAGUUGUUGUGGUUAAAAAGCUCGUAGUUGAACCUUGGGCCUGGCUGGCCGGUCCGCCUCACCGCGUGUACUGGUCCGGCCGGGCCUUUCCCUCUGUGGAACCCCAUGCCCUUCACUGGGUGUGGCGGGGAAACAGGACUUUUACUGUGAAAAAAUUAGAGUGCUCCAGGCAGGCCUAUGCUCGAAUACAUUAGCAUGGAAUAAUAGAAUAGGACGUGUGGUUCUAUUUUGUUGGUUUCUAGGACCGCCGUAAUGAUUAAUAGGGACAGUCGGGGGCAUCAGUAGUCAAUUGUCAGAGGUGAAAUUCUUGGAUUUAUUGAAGACUAACUACUGCGAAAGCAUUUGCCAAGGAUGUUUUCAUUAAUCAGGAACGAAAGUUAGGGGAGCGAAGACGAUCAGAUACCGUCGUAGUCUUAACCAUAAACUAUGCCGACUAGGGAUCGGACGAUGUUAUAUUUUGACUCGUUCGGCACCUUACG
This 495-nucleotide ribosomal RNA is filed under the name uncultured Glomeromycotina. RNAcentral describes it as "partial small subunit ribosomal RNA". It matches the Rfam family "Eukaryotic small subunit ribosomal RNA", at positions 591 to 1092 of the family's 1831-position model. The record is from RNAcentral. Lineage: Eukaryota; Fungi; Glomeromycota.